GAUGAACGCUGGCGGCGUGCCUAAUACAUGCAAGUCGAGCGAACAGACGAGGAGCUUGCUCCUCUGACGUUAGCGGCGGACGGGUGCGUAACACGUGGAUAACCUACCUAUAAGACUGGGAUAACUUCGGGAAACCGGAGCCAAUACCGGAUAAUAUAUUGAACCGCAUGGUUCAAUAGUGAAAGACGGUUUUGCUGUCACUUAUAGAUGGAUCCGCGCCGCAUUAGCUAGUUGGUAAGGUAACGGCUUACCAAGGCAACGAUGCGUAGCCGACCUGAGAGGGUGAUCGGCCACACUGGAACUGAGACACGGUCCAGACUCCUACGGGAGGCAGCAGUAGGGAAUCUUCCGCAAUGGGCGAAAGCCUGACGGAGCAACACCGCGUGGGUGAUGAAGGUCUUCGGAUCGUAAAGCUCUGUUAUUAGGGAAGAACAGAUGUGUAAGUAACUAUGCACGUCUUGACGGUACCUAAUCAGAAAGCCACGGCUAACUACGUG
Molecule: ribosomal RNA, 497 nt
Filed under: uncultured bacterium
Lineage: Bacteria
Description: partial 16S ribosomal RNA
Rfam family: Bacterial small subunit ribosomal RNA
Source: RNAcentral